UACGAAGGGUGCAAGCGUUACUCGGAAUUACUGGGCGUAAAGCGUGCGUAGGUGGUUUGUUAAGUCUGAUGUGAAAGCCCUGGGCUCAACCUGGGAAUUGCAUUGGAUACUGGCAGGCUAGAGUGCGGUAGAGGAUGGCGGAAUUCCCGGUGUAGCAGUGAAAUGCGUAGAGAUCGGGAGGAACAUCUGUGGCGAAGGCGGCCAUCUGGACCAGCACUGACACUGAGGCACGAAAGCGUGGGGAGCAAACAGG
RNAcentral lists this ribosomal RNA (253 nucleotides) under uncultured bacterium. RNAcentral describes it as "partial 16S ribosomal RNA". It matches the Rfam family "Bacterial small subunit ribosomal RNA", at positions 524 to 776 of the family's 1533-position model. RNAcentral also lists the same sequence under 2 other names. The record is from RNAcentral.